RNAcentral lists this ribosomal RNA (264 nucleotides) under Acinetobacter johnsonii. RNAcentral's name for it is "partial 23S ribosomal RNA". It matches the Rfam family "Bacterial large subunit ribosomal RNA", at positions 1421 to 1684 of the family's 2925-position model. Lineage: Bacteria; Pseudomonadati; Pseudomonadota; Gammaproteobacteria; Moraxellales; Moraxellaceae. The record is from RNAcentral.
GGAAAUUGGUUAAUAUUCCAAUACUUCUAUGUAAUGCGAUGAGAGGACGGAGAAGGUUAAGUCAGCCUGGCGUUGGUUGUCCAGGUGGAAGGUUGUAGGCAUGUAUCUUAGGCAAAUCCGGGGUACUGUAUGCUGAGAACUGAUAGCAAGCUGUACUUGUACAGUGAAGUGGCUGAUACCAUGCUUCCAGGAAAAGUCUCUAAGCUUCAGUUACACAGGAAUCGUACCCGAAACCGACACAGGUGGUCAGGUCGAGUAGACCAA